Long non-coding RNA from Panicum hallii, 479 nucleotides. RefSeq lists it as uncharacterized. NCBI's taxonomy places the organism in Eukaryota, Viridiplantae, Streptophyta, Magnoliopsida, Poales, Poaceae. The transcript is spliced from 3 exons. The record is from RefSeq and is a predicted model, not a curated record.
CCAUUUCUAAAUUUCGAAACUACCCCAGGAGCUCAAGAUCGAAGCCCACCCACCGAACUUUCCAGGCCGCGGAGCCAGGCAGCGCCAUGCACCGCCGCGGCGAGGCGAGCCACCGGGGCCGGAGCUCCUCCCGCGGCCGAGGCUAGCGAGGACGACGCUGCCCCGAUCAUUGGCACCUGCACCGACAUGUGCCCAGACCAGGAAGGGAACGGGCGUAGAGGGACCUCGCCGUGCUCGAGCGGGUGGGCAGCGACCCCGCGCGCACGUCUCCUUCAAUUCCCUCGCCGUCACGAAGGUAACAUUUCAUAUUAGAUCCCAUCAGAGACUUGCUCGGCCUUGCCAGGAUUCAGAUGCAUCUUCAUUGUGUUCCCUAAACAUGGAGAAGCUAAGAAAAUGCCUGCUUUCUCAGUUUGAUUUGUAUCACACAAUCCAUCAUAGUGAUUCCCACAGCACAAGAGAGGCCGAAUAUUUUCCUUCUA